Molecule: ribosomal RNA, 242 nt
Filed under: uncultured Eubacteriales bacterium
Lineage: Bacteria; Bacillati; Bacillota; Clostridia; Eubacteriales
Description: uncultured Clostridiales bacterium partial 16S ribosomal RNA
Rfam family: Bacterial small subunit ribosomal RNA
Source: RNAcentral
AGAGUGGCGAACGGGUGAGUAACACGUGAGUAACCUGCCUUAGACAUUGGGAUAGCCUCGGGAAACCGGGAUUAAUACCAAAUAAAAUCAUAAUGACACAUGUCAUAACGAUCAAAACUCCGGUGGUCUAAGAUGGACUCGCGUCCCAUUAGCUAGUUGGUAGAGUAAGAGCCUACCAAGGCGACGAUGGGUAGCCGGCCUGAGAGGGUGAACGGCCACAUUGGAACUGAGAAACGGUCCAA